UGGCUUAGCUGUGAUUCAAGUUACUUGUGCUUGAACCAAAAAAUAGAUCGAUGCAGCAAUGCUAGCAAUAAUCAUUCUAUUUUUUCACCUGAUGUAAGCUAACUGAAGAGACGAUGUGCUGAUGGAUGAUAUUACAAGCAUGCUGUGAAGGGAGCAUGGCCAUAUCAAUUAGACACUAGGAAACGGUUUCUUCAUACCCACUCAUCAAAUAAUGGUGUAUAUCUUGAUCC
Molecule: long non-coding RNA, 230 nt
Filed under: Elaeis guineensis (African oil palm)
Lineage: Eukaryota; Viridiplantae; Streptophyta; Magnoliopsida; Arecales; Arecaceae
Description: long non-coding RNA (EGUI_LNC010595)
Source: RNAcentral